This 468-nucleotide ribosomal RNA is filed under the name uncultured bacterium. RNAcentral's name for it is "partial 16S ribosomal RNA". It matches the Rfam family "Bacterial small subunit ribosomal RNA", at positions 28 to 507 of the family's 1533-position model. The record is from RNAcentral.
GACGAACGCUGGCGGCGUGCUUAACACAUGCAAGUCGAACGGAAAGGCCCUGCUUUUGUGGGGUGCUCGAGUGGCGAACGGGUGAGUAACACGUGAGUAACCUGCCCUUGACUUUGGGAUAACUUCAGGAAACUGGGGCUAAUACCGGAUAGGAGCUCCUGCUGCAUGGUGGGGGUUGGAAAGUUUCGGCGGUUGGGGAUGGACUCGCGGCCUAUCAGCUUGUUGGUGGGGUAGUGGCUUACCAAGGCUUUGACGGGUAGCCGGCCUGAGAGGGUGACCGGCCACAUUGGGACUGAGAUACGGCGCAGACUCCUACGGGAGGCAGCAGUGGGGAAUAUUGCACAAUGGGCGGAAGCCUGAUGCAGAAACGCCGCGUGCGGGAUGACGGCCUUCGGGUUGUAAACCGCUUUCGCCUGUGACGAAGCGUGAGUGACGGUAAUGGGUAAAGAAGCACCGGCUAACUACGUG